This 706-nucleotide long non-coding RNA is filed under the name Dermacentor andersoni. Its description in RNAcentral is "uncharacterized LOC126543075". The record is from RNAcentral. Lineage: Eukaryota; Metazoa; Arthropoda; Arachnida; Ixodida; Ixodidae.
GACAAGGAUGAUUCUUUAUAUUUUUGGCUACCACUUCAAAUGCCUCCACUAAGUGUUACAAUGCUGCACGCAGCCAUACUAAGGAUCUCACAGCAACACUUGCAGGUAAACAGCAAAAGCAGUCAAAGUGCUGGUGUAUUCUGGACACUGUCUUUGAAAACUUUUAGGCAAGAACAGUGCAAGAAACAGACAUAAGAACUGCAUUUAUUUCUAUAAUUCCCCAUUUGAAUGGCCUUUUCUUUUUCCUUCGACAAUGCCUUCGCCUAGCCACAGCAGCUCCCUCAUACAGACUCCGCAAGCCAAGAGGCCGUGGAGGCAAAUGCAGACAGCCAGCACACCUCGAACAGCCACCUUGACUGCGGGUGUGUCACCCUAGUCGCCAAGGAAACAUUUGAGGGAAAGCGACAGGCUAUGUGAACAGCCACUUCUCCAUGUAAACGAUACUCUUUCUCUCGGAUGACUCCUACGUUCGCCACGCCAGCACACUUGUGCACAAAGAUGCCACGGAGGCACGUGCAGGUCAGAGGCAAGAAGCAGUGGCACUGGUGUCGACAUUCGCCCAAUUUCUUUUUCUUACACUGAGGCAGCCAGCACACCUCAAACAGCCACCUUAACUGCGGGUGUGUUAGUAGAUUCCUGUUGUACAUAUGCUCAUAAUAAACUUCAGUAAACUUGAACUUGAUAAUAAACUUGAAGGCAAAUGGGA